Molecule: ribosomal RNA, 503 nt
Filed under: uncultured bacterium
Lineage: Bacteria
Description: bacterial SSU rRNA
Rfam family: Bacterial small subunit ribosomal RNA
Source: RNAcentral
GAUCCUGGCUCAGGAUGAACGCUAGCUACAGGCUUAACACAUGCAAGUCGAGGGGCAGCGGGGAGGAUGCUUGCAUUCUCUGCCGGCGACCGGCGCACGGGUGAGUAACGCGUAUCCAACCUUCCCCAUAGUCAGGAAUAGCCCGGCGAAAGUCGAAUUAAUGCCUGAUGUUUUCCACGGACGGCAUCUGAUGUGGAACAAAGAUUGAUCGCUAUGGGAUGGGGAUGCGUCUGAUUAGCUUGUUGGCGGGGUAACGGCCCACCAAGGCAACGAUCAGUAGGGGUUCUGAGAGGAAGGUCCCCCACAUUGGAACUGAGACACGGUCCAAACUCCUACGGGAGGCAGCAGUGAGGAAUAUUGGUCAAUGGGCGGAAGCCUGAACCAGCCAAGUAGCGUGAGGGAUGACUGCCCUAUGGGUUGUAAACCUCUUUUAUAAGGGAAUAAAAUACGGGACGUGUCCUGUUUUGCAUGUACCUUAUGAAUAAGGACCGGCUAAUUCCGUG